This is a long non-coding RNA of Leptopilina boulardi, 973 nucleotides long. RefSeq lists it as uncharacterized. The record is from RefSeq and is a predicted model, not a curated record. The transcript has 3 exons. Lineage: Eukaryota; Metazoa; Arthropoda; Insecta; Hymenoptera; Figitidae.
CCUGCCUUAGUGUUUCGUGAAUCGUGCUUGAAAAUUCGAAACUAAUUUCUUUCGUUUGAACCGUUAAGAUGGAAGAGAUGAGUUCGAAACGACGUGAAAAAUUAUAGCGAACAAUCAAGAAAGAUAUUUUGACGUCAUUGACAAUUAUUUACCAAAAUCAAUGUUUUUCGAAUAUUAUCCAAAGGGUAGUACGCUUGGUUACAAGGUUGGGGACGAAAAUUAUUUGCUGACCGCGGAUGAUGCAAACAUAUAUCUGGCUAUCAAGUGAGAAUAUUCUUGUGACAUUCAGGCGAUAUCAUAAUGUCCGCUUCAUGGGGACAUUCCACGGUGAUAUUCAUGUGACAUUAGCGUCAUAUUCGUAUGAUAAUGAGGGAAUAUUCCCGUGAAAUUCAUGUAAUAUUGAGGGGAUAUCCCCGCACGGAAAAAAAUAGUUCGUGAAACUUUCGUAAACUAGUAGUUCACUUUUGGACGGGCCCAAAGUUUGGAAAUCUUUCAUUAACUUUUUCCAAGAUUUCACGAACUUUUUUUUGUGCGCGUGCGCAGACAUUGAUUGUUAUGAAGAGAAUGAUGAACGUUCGUGAAAUCUUGGAAAAAGUUAAUGAAAGAUUUUCAAACUUUGGGACGCAAAGGAAAAUUUUUUCCCUCCUAAUGAUAACCUAAUGAUUAUGGAACUUGUAUUUUUUUCGAGCGCGUCCAGAUGGUUUGACUGUACGUUGUCUAAUUAAGGCUCCUCUGAAUGGUUUACUUUCUUUCUCUGAAUAGUGUGCAUGUGAUGGCUUAUGCAUUUGGAAACAGUAUUAGUUUAACAAAGAUUUUUAUUUAAACAGGUAGAACAGUUUGCACAUUUAACCUGCUGCGAAGAAUGGCUUCAAAAGAACCCUGGACAUAAAACGAAGGUAAAGAAAACAAAGAAACCUACUGCUCAGGAAGUAAGCACUUAGACUGUUAGCACUUAUAAGACUCAGACAAAUAA